Molecule: ribosomal RNA, 1503 nt
Filed under: Triticum aestivum (bread wheat)
Lineage: Eukaryota; Viridiplantae; Streptophyta; Magnoliopsida; Poales; Poaceae
Description: partial small subunit ribosomal RNA
Source: RNAcentral
AUGAAUAUUGAGUAUGAUGCACUCAUAAAAAAUCAAACGUGGCACUUAGUUCCUUACAAGCAAGGGAGGAAUGUUAUAGAUUGCAAAUGGGUUUAUAAAAUCAAGAAAAGACCUGAUGGCACAAUAGAGAGAUACAAAGCUAGGUUGGUAGCCAAAGGCUUUAAACAACGAUACAACAUUGAUUAUGAGGACACUUUUAGUCCAGUUGUUAAAGCUGCUACUAUCAGACUUGUUUUGUCUGUUGCUGUCUCCAGGGGAUGGAAUCUUCGCCAAUUGGAUGUACAAAAUGCGUUCUUACACGGCGUUCUCGAAGAGGAAGUCUAUAUGAAACAACCACCUGGGUUUGAAGAUGGUUCAAAACCAAAUCAUGUGUGCAAACUGGACAAAGCUCUGUAUGAUCUUAAACAAGCCCCCAGAGCUUGGUAUUCAAGGCUAAGUGCAAAGCUGCAACAACUUGGGUUUCGAGCUUCCAAGGGAGAUACUUCCUUGUUCUUCUUUAAAAAAGGAAAGGUGAUGAUAUGCAUGUUAAUUUAUGCUGAUGACAUAAUUGUUGCUAGUUCAUCUCAAGAGGCCACCUCAGCAUUGCUAAAACAGUUAAAACAUGAGUUUGCUCUUAAGGAUCUAGGAGAGUUACAUUACUUCCUAGGUAUUGAGGUUAAAAAGGUACAUGAUGGUAUAGUGUUGACUCAAGAAAAGUAUGCCAGAGAUGUAAUCAAGCGUGUAGGUAUGAAAGGCUGCAAACCCUCUAACACACCCAUGUCUACAACUGAUAAGUUGUCUUUGCAUGAAGGAGUGUUAUUGAGUCCAGAGGAAGGGACAAAAUACAGAAGUGUGGUUGGUGCACUCCAGUAUUUAACUUUAACAAGACCAGAUAUUUCCUUCUCUGUUAAUAAGGUUUAUCAGUUUCUACAUGCUCCUACCACAGUACAUUGGACAGCUGUAAAGAGAAUUUUGAGGUAUCUUCAAGGAAGUGUUGAAACAGGACUAAAAUUGUGUAAGUCCUCCUCAACAGCAGUAAGUGCUUUUUCAGAUGCAGAUUGGGCCGGAUGCCCUGAUGAUAGGCAGUCUACUGGCGGCUUUGCUAUCUUCCUUGGCUCAAACCUCAUAUCCUGGAAUGCAAAGAAGCAAUCAACUGUGUCUCGGUCAAGUACAGAAGCUGAAUAUAAAUCUCUGGCAAAUGCAACUGCUGAGGUAAUGUGGAUAGAAACACUACUCAAUGAAUUGGGUAUUGGGAGAUCACAUGUUUCACAACUAUGGUGUGACAAUCUUGGAGCAACUUAUCUUUUCGCAAAUCCUGUAUUCCAUGCAAGAACAAAGCAUAUAGAAAUUGACUAUCACUUUGUUCGAGAAAGAGUUGCACAAAAGUUGUUGGAAGUACGGUUCAUUCCAACUGGAGAUCAAGUUGCUGAUGGCUUCAAAAAACCCUUGCAAGCUCGACAACUUCAAGCCUUCAAGAACAAUCUAAACCUUCACAUAUUGAGAUUGAGGGAGGAUGUUAGAUGA